UUAAUUGAAGCCAAAUAGAGGCUUAUCACUGUUAAUGAUAUCAUUGAAAUUAUCUCCAAUUAAA
RNAcentral lists this transfer RNA (64 nucleotides) under Leptogaster longicauda. RNAcentral's name for it is "tRNA-Asn". Lineage: Eukaryota; Metazoa; Arthropoda; Insecta; Diptera; Asilidae. The record is from RNAcentral.